GAUGAACGCUGGUGGCGUGCCUAACACAUGCAAGUCGAGCGAUUCUCUUCGGAGAAGAGCGGCGGACGGGUGAGUAACGCGUGGGUAACCUGCCCUGUACACACGGAUAACAUACCGAAAGGUAUGCUAAUACGAGAUAACAUGCUUUUAUCGCAUGGUAGAAGUAUCAAAGCUUUUGCGGUGCAGGAUGGACCCGCGUCUGAUUAGCUAGUUGGUGAGGUAACGGCUCACCAAGGCGACGAUCAGUAGCCGACCUGAGAGGGUGAUCGGCCACAUUGGAACUGAGACACGGUCCAAACUCCUACGGGAGGCAGCAGUGGGGAAUAUUGCACAAUGGGCGAAAGCCUGAUGCAGCAACGCCGCGUGAGCGAUGAAGGCCUUCGGGUCGUAAAGCUCUGUCCUCAAGGAAGAUAAUGACGGUACUUGAGGAGGAAGCCCCGGCUAACUACGUG
This 452-nucleotide ribosomal RNA is filed under the name uncultured bacterium. RNAcentral's name for it is "partial 16S ribosomal RNA". It matches the Rfam family "Bacterial small subunit ribosomal RNA", at positions 28 to 507 of the family's 1533-position model. The record is from RNAcentral.